GGUGGCUCAGUGGUAGAGCGCUUGCCUUGUAUGAAUGAGGCCCUGAGUUCAAUUCCUCAGCACCA
Non-coding RNA from Dipodomys ordii (Ord's kangaroo rat), 65 nucleotides. Lineage: Eukaryota; Metazoa; Chordata; Mammalia; Rodentia; Heteromyidae. The record is from Rfam.